This 253-nucleotide ribosomal RNA is filed under the name uncultured bacterium. RNAcentral's name for it is "partial 16S ribosomal RNA". It matches the Rfam family "Bacterial small subunit ribosomal RNA", at positions 524 to 776 of the family's 1533-position model. The record is from RNAcentral. RNAcentral also lists the same sequence under 1 other name.
UACGGAGGGAGCUAGCGUUGUUCGGAAUUACUGGGCGUAAAGCGCACGUAGGCGGCUUUGUAAGUUAGAGGUGAAAGCCUGGAGCUCAACUCCAGAACUGCCUUUAAAACUGCAUCGCUUGAAUCCAGGAGAGGUGAGUGGAAUUCCGAGUGUAGAGGUGAAAUUCGUAGAUAUUCGGAAGAACACCAGUGGCGAAGGCGGCUCACUGGACUGGUAUUGACGCUGAGGUGCGAAAGCGUGGGGAGCAAACAGG